UUGACGGGGCCGCACAAGCGGUGGAGCAUGUGGUUUAAUCGACGCAACGCGAAGAACCUUACCUGGGCUUGACAUCUGGGGAAUCUCAUGGAAACAUGGGAGUGCGGAGCAAUCUGAACCCCAAGACAGGUGCUGCAUGGCUGUCGUCAGCUCGUGUCGUGAGAUGUUGGGUUAAGUCCCGCAACGAGCGCAACCCUUGUCUCUAGUUGCCACCAUUCAGUUGGGCACUCUAGAGAGACUGCCGGUGAUAAACCGGAGGAAGGUGGGGACGACGUCAAGUCCUCAUGGCCUUUAUGCCCAGGGCUACACACGUGCUACAAUGGAUCGUACAAAGGGUCGCGAACCCGCGAGGGGGAGCCAAUCCCAAAAACCGGUCCUCAGUUCGGAUUGGAGUCUGCAACUCGACUCCAUGAAGUUGGAAUCGCUAGUAAUCGUGGAUCAGCAUGCCACGGUCGAAUACGUUCCCGGGCCUU
Molecule: ribosomal RNA, 473 nt
Filed under: uncultured Desulfobacca sp.
Lineage: Bacteria; Pseudomonadati; Thermodesulfobacteriota; Desulfobaccia; Desulfobaccales; Desulfobaccaceae
Description: bacterial SSU rRNA
Rfam family: Bacterial small subunit ribosomal RNA
Source: RNAcentral